RNAcentral lists this ribosomal RNA (521 nucleotides) under uncultured bacterium. RNAcentral describes it as "bacterial SSU rRNA". It matches the Rfam family "Archaeal small subunit ribosomal RNA", at positions 345 to 866 of the family's 1478-position model. The record is from RNAcentral.
AACCUCCGCAAUGUGAGAAAUCGCGACGGGGGGAUCCCAAGUGCCAUUCUUAACGGGAUGGCUUUUCAUUAGUGUAAAGAGCUUUUGGAAUAAGGGCUGGGCAAGACCGGUGCCAGCCGCCGCGGUAACACCGGCAGCUCUAGUGGUAGCAGUUUUUAUUGGGCCUAAAGCGUCCGUAGCCGGUUUAAUAAGUCUCUGGUGAAAUCCUGUAGCUUAACUGUGGGAAUUGCUAGAGAUACUAUUAGACUUGAGACCGGGAGAGGUUAGAGGUACUCCCAGGGUAGAGGUGAAAUUCUGUAAUCCUGGGAGGACCGCCUGUUGCGAAGGCGUCUAACUGGAACGGUUCUGACGGUGAGGGACGAAAGUUAGGGGCGCGAACCGGGAUUAGAUACCCGGGUAGUCCUAACCGUAACGAUGCGGACUUGGUGUUGGGGUGGCUUUGAGCUGCUCCAGUGCCGAAGGGAAGCUGUUAAGUCCGCCGCCUGGGAAGUACGGUCGCAAGACUGAAACUUAAAGGAAUU